AUUGAACGCUAGCGGGAUGCUUUACACAUGCAAGUCGAACGGCAGCGCGGACUUCGGUCUGGCGGCGAGUGGCGAACGGGUGAGUAAUGUAUCAGAACGUGCCCAGUAGCGGGGGAUAACUACGCGAAAGCGUAGCUAAUACCGCAUACGCCCUACGGGGGAAAGCAGGGGAUCGUAAGACCUUGCACUAUUGGAGCGGCCGAUAUCGGAUUAGCUAGUUGGUGAGGUAACGGCUCACCAAGGCGACGAUCCGUAGCUGGUUUGAGAGGACGACCAGCCACACUGGGACUGAGACACGGCCCAGACUCCUACGGGAGGCAGCAGUGGGGAAUUUUGGACAAUGGGGGCAACCCUGAUCCAGCCAUCCCGCGUGUGCGAUGAAGGCCUUCGGGUUGUAAAGCACUUUUGGCAGGAAAGAAACGUCGCGGGCUAAUACCCCGUGGAACUGACGGUACCUGCAGAAUAAGCACCGGCUAACUACGUG
Molecule: ribosomal RNA, 484 nt
Filed under: uncultured bacterium
Lineage: Bacteria
Description: partial 16S ribosomal RNA
Rfam family: Bacterial small subunit ribosomal RNA
Source: RNAcentral